This 428-nucleotide ribosomal RNA is filed under the name uncultured bacterium. RNAcentral's name for it is "bacterial SSU rRNA". It matches the Rfam family "Bacterial small subunit ribosomal RNA", at positions 355 to 774 of the family's 1533-position model. The record is from RNAcentral.
UGGGGAAUAUUGCGCAAUGGGGGAAACCCUGACGCAGCGACGCCGUGUGAGGGAAGAAGGCUUUCGGGUCGUAAACCUCUGUCAGGAAGGAAGAACCUCUCAAGGCUGAACAAGCCUUGGGACUGACGGUACUUUCAGAGGAAGCACCGGCUAACUCCGUGCCAGCAGCCGCGGUAAUACGGAGGGUGCAAGCGUUAAUCGGAAUCACUGGGCGUAAAGCGCGCGUAGGCCGUCUUUUAAGUCGGACGUGAAAGCCCUCGGCUCAACCGGGGAACUGCGUUCGAUACUGGGAGACUUGAGUCCUGGAGAGGGUGGCGGAAUUCCGGGUGUAGGAGUGAAAUCCGUAGAUAUCCGGAGGAACACCGGUGGCGAAGGUGGCCACCUGGACAGUUACUGACGCUGAGGCGCGAAAGCGUGGGGAGCAAACA